CCAACGAUGAAACGGUGGGUCUACGGAAAUUC
Molecule: small RNA, 32 nt
Filed under: Bombyx mori (domestic silkworm)
Lineage: Eukaryota; Metazoa; Arthropoda; Insecta; Lepidoptera; Bombycidae
Description: ovarian small RNA-13460
Source: RNAcentral